This 468-nucleotide ribosomal RNA is filed under the name uncultured bacterium. Its description in RNAcentral is "partial 16S ribosomal RNA". It matches the Rfam family "Bacterial small subunit ribosomal RNA", at positions 28 to 507 of the family's 1533-position model. The record is from RNAcentral.
GACGAACGCUGGCGGCGUGCUUAACACAUGCAAGUCGAACGGAAAGGCCCUGCUUUUGUGGGGUGCUCGAGUGGCGAACGGGUGAGUAACACGUGAGUAACCUGCCCUUGACUUUGGGAUAACUUCAGGAAACUGGGGCUAAUACCGGAUAGGAGCUCCUGCUGCAUGGUGGGGGUUGGAAAGUUUCGGCGGGUGGGGAUGGACUCGCGGCUUAUCAGCUUGUUGGUGGGGUAGUGGCUUACCAAGGCUUUGACGGGUAGCCGGCCUGAGAGGGUGACCGGCCACAUUGGGACUGCGGUACGGCCCAGACUCCUACGGUAGGCAGCAGUGGGGAAUAUUGCACAAUGGGCGGAAGUCUGAUGCAGCAGCGCCGCGUGCGGGAUGACGGCCUUCGGGUUGUAAACCGCUUUCGCCUGUGACGAAGCGUGAGUGACGGUAAUGGGUAAAGAAGCACCGGCUAACUACGUG